UUUAUUGAGAGUUUGAUCCUGGCUCAGGACGAACGCUGGCGGCGUGCCUAACACAUGCAAGUCGAACGGACUUACAGACUUCGGUCUGUAAGUUAGUGGCGGACGGGUGAGUAACGCGUGAGCAAUCUGCCUUUCGGAGGGGGACAACAGUUGGAAACGACUGCUAAUACCGCAUAAAGUAUACUGAUCGCAUGGUUGGUAUACCAAAGAUUUAUCGCCGAAAGAUGAGCUCGCGUCCGAUUAGUUAGUUGGUAGGGUAAAGGCCUACCAAGACAUCGAUCGGUAGCCGGACUGAGAGGUUGAACGGCCACAU
RNAcentral lists this ribosomal RNA (313 nucleotides) under Oscillospiraceae bacterium. RNAcentral's name for it is "bacterial SSU rRNA". It matches the Rfam family "Bacterial small subunit ribosomal RNA", at positions 1 to 313 of the family's 1533-position model. The record is from RNAcentral. Lineage: Bacteria; Bacillati; Bacillota; Clostridia; Eubacteriales; Oscillospiraceae.